CCUACGGGUGACAGCAGUCGAGAAUCAUUCACAAUGGCCGAAAGCCUGAUGGUGCGACGCCGCGUGGGGGAAUGAAGUUCUUCGCAUUGUAAACUUCUGUCAUGUGGGAGCAAAUUAAAACGAUAGUACCACACGAGGAAGAGACGGCUAACUCGGUGCCAGCAGCCGCGGGCAUACAGGGGGCUCAAGCGGUGAUUGGGAUCACUGGUCUGAAAGGGUUGGGAGGCUGGUACGUAAAGCGAGUGUGAAAGGGGCGGGCUCAACCCGCGGAGGGCAGAUGAAACUGGCGGACUAGAGUGAGGGAGGGGGAUGCGGAAUGCGCGGUGUAGCAGUGAAAUGCGUAGAUAUCGAGAAGAACACUCGUGGCGAAGGCAGGAUCCUGGAGAUUAACUGACGCUGAGGCACGAAGGCGAGGGGAGCGAAAGGGAUUAGAUACCCGAGUAGUC
This 446-nucleotide ribosomal RNA is filed under the name uncultured bacterium. Its description in RNAcentral is "partial 16S ribosomal RNA". It matches the Rfam family "Bacterial small subunit ribosomal RNA", at positions 338 to 795 of the family's 1533-position model. The record is from RNAcentral.